CUUCAAGGCAGCUCACCUCACUAGUCAUGGCAUCAAUUCGGAAGGACACCUCAAAGCUUCACAAAAGCCAGAUGGCAGCAAGCAGUAGGCACAACACCUCAGUAUCUCACGGCAUCAGAUUUUGAAGCAUGAUUGGCCAGCAAGAUGGCAAAGCUUUAUUCCUGAUCUUGUUUCAGCUGCUAAAACUAGUGAAACAAUUUGUGAGAAUUGCAUGGCUAUAUUGAAGCUUCUAAGUGAAGGGGUGUUUGAUUUCUCAAGAGGAGAGAUGACUCAAAGUAAGAUAAAGGAGCUUAAACAAUCAUUGAACAGUGAAUUUCAACUCAUUCAUGAGCUAUGCUUAUAUGUACUAUCAGCCUCUCAAAGAA
Humulus lupulus (European hop) is the source of this 365-nucleotide long non-coding RNA. RefSeq lists it as uncharacterized. The transcript has 4 exons. The record is from RefSeq and is a predicted model, not a curated record. NCBI's taxonomy places the organism in Eukaryota, Viridiplantae, Streptophyta, Magnoliopsida, Rosales, Cannabaceae.